RNAcentral lists this ribosomal RNA (471 nucleotides) under uncultured bacterium. Its description in RNAcentral is "SSU rRNA". It matches the Rfam family "Bacterial small subunit ribosomal RNA", at positions 26 to 518 of the family's 1533-position model. The record is from RNAcentral.
AGGACGAACGCUGGCGGCGUGCUUAACACAUGCAAGUCGAGCGGAAAGGCCCUUCGGGGUACUCGAGCGGCGAACGGGUGAGUAACACGUGAGCAACCUGCCCUUGGCUCUGGGAUAGCCUCCGGAAACGGGGAUUAAUACCGGACAUUCACUUUCUCCUGCAUGGGGGUUGGUGGAAAGUUUUUCGGCCAGGGAGGGGCUCGCGGCCUAUCAGCUUGUUGGCGGGGUAACGGCCCACCAAGGCGACGACGGGUAGCCGGCCUGAGAGGGCGAUCGGCCACACUGGGACUGAGACACGGCCCAGACUCCUACGGGAGGCAGCAGUGGGGAAUAUUGCACAAUGGGCGCAAGCCUGAUGCAGCGACGCCGCGUGGGGGAUGAAGGCCUUCGGGUUGUAAACCCCUUUCACCAGGAGCGAAUUCAGACGGUACCCGGGGAAGAAGCGCCGGCUAACUACGUGCCAGCAGCCGC